UCGCCUGUUUUUUUAAAAAACAUGUCCUUUUGUUUAAAAUUUAAGGUCUAGCCUGCCCACUGAUGUAUUUAAAUGGCCGCAGUAUUUUGACUGUGCAAAGGUAGCAUAAUCAUUAGUUUUUUAAUUAAAAGCUGGUAUGAAAGGUUGAAUGAGAAAAAAACUGUCUCUAUUUAAUUUUUUGAUAAAUUUAUUUUUAAGUAAAAAAGCUUAAAUUAUUUUAAAAGACGAGAAGACCCUAUAGAGUUUAAUAAAAUUUUUUUAUUUAAUAUUUUUAGUAUUUUUUAUAUUAAUUAUUAUAUUUUAUUUGAUUGGGGUGAUUAAAAAAUUAAAAAAACUUUUUUUUUAUUAAAACAUUAAUUUAUGAUUAAUUGAUCCAUUAUUUAUGAUUAUAAGAUAAAAUUACCUUAGGGAUAACAGCGUAAUAUUUUUUUAGAGUUCAAAUCGAAAAAAGAGAUUGCGACCUCGAUGUUGGAUUAAAAUUAAUUUUUGGUGUAGAAGCUAGAAAUAUAUUGCGGCUCUUAACCAAAUUCCC
RNAcentral lists this ribosomal RNA (532 nucleotides) under Leptura duodecimguttata. RNAcentral's name for it is "partial 16S ribosomal RNA". The record is from RNAcentral. Lineage: Eukaryota; Metazoa; Arthropoda; Insecta; Coleoptera; Cerambycidae.